This 334-nucleotide unclassified non-coding RNA is filed under the name soil metagenome. RNAcentral describes it as "partial contains 5.8S ribosomal RNA, internal transcribed spacer 2, and large subunit ribosomal RNA". The stretch from base 1 to 120 matches the Rfam family "5.8S ribosomal RNA", at positions 35 to 154 of the family's 154-position model. The record is from RNAcentral.
GAUGAAGAACGCAGUGAAAUGCGAUAAGUAAUGUGAAUUGCAGAAUUCAGUGAAUCAUCGAAUCUUUGAACGCACAUUGCGCCCGCUAGUAUUCUGGCGGGCAUGCCUGUCCGAGCGUCAUUUCAACCAUCAAGCCCUAGGCUUGCGUUGGAGCCCUGCGGCUGCCGCAGGCCCCUAAAAGCAGUGGCGGGCUCGCUAUCACACCGAGUGCAGUAGAUUACUCUUCGCUCAGGGCGUGUGGCGGGUUCCAGCCGUGAAACCCCCUACUUCUCAAGGUUGACCUCGGAUCAGGUAGGAAUACCCGCUGAACUUAAGCAUAUCAAUAAGCGGAGGA